AGACGACGCUGGCGGCGUGCCUAACACAUGCAAGUCGAGCGGGGUGGUUCUGAAGGGCAACCGGAGGGAUCACCUAGCGGCGAACGGGUGAGUAACGCGUGGAUAACCUACCUCAAGGUCUGGGAUAACAGCUCGAAAGGGCUGCUAAUACCGGAUGUGGUGCAUAUGCUGCAUGGUAGAUGCACUAAAGGGGAAACCCGCCAUGAGAUGGGUCCGCGUCCCAUCAGCUAGUUGGUGGGGUAAAGGCCUACCAAGGCGACGACGGGUAGCCGGCCUGAGAGGGUGACCGGCCACACUGGGACUGAGACACGGCCCAGACUCCUACGGGGGGCAGCAGUGGGGAAUAUUGCACAAUGGGCGAAAGCCUGAUGCAGCGACGCCGCGUGGGCGAAGAAGGCCUUCGGGUUGUAAAGCCCUGUCUGGAGGGACGAAGUAAUGACGGUACCUCCGGAGGAAGCCACGGCUAACUACGUG
Molecule: ribosomal RNA, 474 nt
Filed under: uncultured bacterium
Lineage: Bacteria
Description: bacterial SSU rRNA
Rfam family: Bacterial small subunit ribosomal RNA
Source: RNAcentral